Molecule: RNA transcript, 4604 nt
Organism: Oncorhynchus kisutch (coho salmon)
Lineage: Eukaryota; Metazoa; Chordata; Actinopteri; Salmoniformes; Salmonidae
Gene name: cullin-4B
Exons: 20
Source: RefSeq, a predicted model, not a curated record
UUGUAGAAGGUACGUUUUGAUAUUGAACUUCCCAGGUGUUAUGGCAAUUUAACACUUGAUACAUUACAUAUUUCGGCUAGAAAUAAGUCUCUAUUGGAUGCCGACAAAACUAACUACUGCUCCACAACGUGGAUAUUAAAGAGAGGCCAAGCAAUAGGAAGCAGUAAUCAACCAUCUUUCUUCUGCCAGCAGAAAUAACAAGAACAGUGAGAGGGUCCAAGUCAUUGAGCUGGUCCAAAUGGGGCUGUAGUUUGCAAUGUAUUGUCUGUUUCUUAGCUAGAUACUUGUAAAAGACCGGACGACUCGGUUGGAAUAUAGCAAGAAAAACCUUGGAAUCGCGACUUGUUAACCCACGGCACAUCUGGAGGUUUAUGAUUAGUAGACUGGCUAUAGCUAUUAGAAUUUGUAUUCAUUUUUUCAUGUUUCCAAUAGGUUUACCUUCCCCUAAUCCCCCACCGCCAACCCAAGAGGCUAGACCAGCAGCUUCAGAUGUAAAUAACGACAGCAGUAUCACGUCUUCGAAGAAGAGGAAAAUAAACAGUUCUGAGAGGGAAGACAUUGAUUCAAUCUCUUCAUCUCCUAAAACCACAAAUUAUUCACCUUCCUCCUGCACCUCCACUUCGCAACACAUUCAGAAGAAGUUGAGGUUCGAAGAUUCAGUAGAUUUCAUUGGACUGGAUGUGAAAAUGGCCGAGGAGUCGUCUGCAUCGUGUUCUUCUAACAAGAUGAAAACAGUUUUUUUGGCUGGGGGUGUUGGGCACCAUGCAAACGGGCUGACGAAAACGGCAGGCUCCACUACCUUCUCCAACAGCAAACCUGGCGCUGCAAAGAAACUAGUCAUCAAGAACUUCAAAGAAAAGCCCAAAUUGCCAGAGAACUACACACACGAGACCUGGCAAAAGCUAAAGGAGGCGGUCGAGGCCAUUCAGAACAGCAUUUCAAUCAAGUACAAUCUUGAGGAGCUCUACCAGGCUGUGGAGAACCUCUGCUCCCAUAAGAUAUCAGCCAAGCUCUACAAACAACUGCAGGUUGUGUGUGAAGACCACAUCAAGGCACAAAUCGAUCAAUUCAGAGAGGAUGCACUGGACAGUACACUCUUCCUGAAGAAAAUAGACAAGUGUUGGCAAGAUCACUGCAGACAAAUGAUCAUGAUUAGAAGUAUAUUUUUGUUCUUGGACCGCACCUAUGUUUUACAAAAUUCAAUGCUCCCGUCAGUCUGGGACAUGGGCCUGGAGUUGUUUAGGUUUUACAUUAUCAGCGACAUGAAGGUCCAGAGCAAGACCAUCGACGGAAUCCUGCUGCUCAUCGAGAGGGAGCGCAGCGGCGAGACCGUCGACCGUAGCCUGCUGCGGAGCCUAUUGAGCAUGCUUUCUGACCUGCAGAUUUAUCAGGACUCCUUUGAGCAGCGCUUUUUGGAGGAGACUAAUCGUCUGUAUGCCGCUGAGGGACAGAGGCUGAUGCAGGAGAGAGAGGUCCCAGAUUAUCUCCAUCACGUCAACAAACGCUUAGAGGAGGAAGCAGACAGAGUCAUCACGUAUCUAGACCAGAGCACACAAAAACCUCUCAUUGCCACUGUGGAAAAGCAACUACUGGGUGAACAUCUCACUGCAACACUGCAGAAAGGCUUGAAUCACCUGCUAGAUGAGAACAGAAUCCAGGACUUGUGUCUUCUCUAUCAGCUCUUCAGUCGGGUGAGAGGGGGCGUGCUAGUCCUCCUACAACACUGGAUCGAGUACAUCAAGGCCUUUGGAAGUACGAUGGUCAUUAACCCUGAGAAGGACAAGACCAUGGUACAGGAGCUGCUGGACUUCAAGGACAAGGUGGACCACAUCAUCCACGUCUGUUUCAUGAAGAAUGAGAAGUUUGUCAAUGCCAUGAAGGAAGCCUUCGAGACCUUCAUCAACAAGAGGACAAACAAACCUGCUGAGCUCAUUGCAAAACACGUGGAUUGGAAACUGAGGGCGGGGAACAAGGAGGCCACGGACGAGGAGCUGGAGAAGAUGUUGGACAAGAUCAUGAUCAUCUUCCGAUUCAUUUAUGGAAAAGACGUUUUUGAGGCCUUCUACAAGAAAGAUCUGGCCAAGAGGUUGCUGGUGGGAAAGAGUGCCUCCGUGGAUGCCGAGAAGUCCAUGCUGUCGAAACUGAAACAUGAAUGUGGAGCGGCAUUCACCAGCAAGCUGGAAGGCAUGUUCAAGGACAUGGAGCUUUCCAAGGACAUCAUGGUGCAGUUCAAACAGUGUCAAAACCUCCCUGGUAACAUUGAGCUGACAGUGAACAUCCUCACCAUGGGAUACUGGCCCACCUACGUCCCAAUGGAGGUUCAUCUGCUCCCAGAGAUGGUGCGGCUGCAGGAGAUUUUCAAGACGUUUUACCUCGGCAAGCACAGUGGCAGAAAGCUACAGUGGCAGUCGACAUUAGGCCAUUGUGUUUUAAAAGCUGAAUUUAAAGAGGGCAAAAAGGAGCUUCAGGUAUCCCUGUUUCAGACACUAGUGCUGCUCAUGUUCAAUGAAGGAGAGGAAUUCACCUUAGAGGAGAUCAAGCUAGCUACAGGAAUAGAGGAUGGCGAGCUGCGGCGGACCCUGCAGUCGUUGGCGUGUGGCAAGGCGCGCGUCAUCCAUAAAGUCCCCAAAAGCAAAGACGUGGAGGACGGAGACAAGUUCUCGUGUAACGAUGACUUCAAACACAAACUCUUCAGGAUCAAGAUCAACCAGAUCCAGAUGAAAGAAACGGUGGUCCCGGGAAUUGAACCCACCAUCCUGGCGUUGCCAGUGCCAUGCCCUACUAACAGAGCUACUUCACCAAUCUCACCCAUUUGAUUCUAUCUGUAUUGUCUAUCUAUAAAUAAAAGGAAAAUGGGUGGGGGGGAUAUUAGCCACUCAUUCAUUUGGUGGAUUGUCCUUGGUAGGUGGAGGAGCAAGCCAGCACCACGGAACGAGUCUACCAGGACCGGCAGUAUCAGAUCGAUGCCGCCAUCGUCAGGAUCAUGAAGAUGAGGAAGACUCUGAGCCAUAACCUCUUGGUGUCGGAAGUGUACAACCAACUCAAGUUCCCUGUCAAGCCUGCUGACCUAAAGAAGAGAAUAGAGUCUCUCAUUGACAGAGAUUACAUGGAGCGCGACAAGGAGAACCCCAACCAAUACAACUAUGUGGCUUAAAGCGAGUUAGACAGAGUGAGGGAUGAAGAGAGGGAGAUGGAGAGCAGGUGGUCCAGUCAGGCUGAAGGCUUCCCUGAGCACUCUGUCCCAUGGAUGCUCUUCCUCUUGCUCUUCUGCACACAUGGAUGUCAGCGUUACCCUCUUUAACCCAGCAACCGACAACUGAAUGGAUACUGCUCAGCGGGAUUUUAUCAGGGGCCUGUUUUCCUGUGGACUGCAUGCCCAUUAAACAAGAAUAUCGUCCAUUCAUUUCUCAGUGCCGCUCGGUGAGAAUUGGACUAGCUACCUUGGACAAAAAAAGACAAACCAAUGUUGUUCAGUUUGUUCUUUUUUUAUGGAGAGGGGAAAAAAGUAUUUAUUUUCAAACUUAGAUCUCUGUCCAUUGUCAUUUGUUUAUGGCAUUCUGUCCCUUGUUUUUUAAGUCACUACUUUAUUUGAUUUUAAUUAACUCUGUACUGUCCCAUGCAAAUGUUCAAACACCUAACAUGGCUCUUAACAUACUACACAUGGAAGAAAAGAGAAAAACAAAGGUAAAGCUUGUCUCAUCAAUCAAUGUUGUAUGUGAGACCCAUGGAUAAACAUUCACAGUAGGAUAUUAUUUUUUCCGUGGUUGAUUUCAGUGUCAAAUCUGCGCACCUGCAGCCAAGUCAAACAAUUCUCAGUAUCUAUUAGUCGCAACCUACUCCUGUUUAUUAACAGCAACAACAGCAAUCAAUGGGACGAUUGUUAAGUAGCAAUAUGAGGAAUUGACAAUAUGUGCCAAAAAUAGAGCACUUCUUUUGUUAUAUGAUUUGUUAAUGCUGCUAAACAAACACUUUAACUUGUACAUGUUAUGCAUUUAGUUUUCCAUUUUACUUUAGCCCUGACUGUUUCAAUGUUUUCUUUUUUUAUAGACAAGACUUUACAAAUGUAUUAAAAUUGUAGUUGCGAACUUUGACAGAGAUGAUGUACUAUUAAAAGCACAGCCACAUCAGCCCCUGUUUCCCUUCAUGUUCCCAAGUAUGAUAUCUCUUAUGUUCCAAGCAUUAUAUUCUUUGUAAGUCCUCUCUGUAGGCCUUAUGGAAGGCCAUGUGUUUGUGGAUAGAUGGAGUUGUUUGAUAUCUCAACAGAUUAAACUGUUUAUUGAGAAAUCAUGCUUGACUGGACUUUAUGCCCUGUCUGAAUAAAUGUUUGUUUUACUGCUUCAGAUUAAAAUAAUUGUCAGUGUUUCUAUUUUGUUUUCCCCCCUUCAUAUCUGUUAAUUUUCAUAGACAUCUCAACCCCAAUAGUAAGAUAGUAUUGGCAUGUAGUAUAUAAUAUUGGGUUACCAACAUAUCAGCUGCACCUUUUUAUUACAAGAAGUUAUCCAUAUCAGAGUUUCUAAACCAUCUUUGUCCGUAUUGUCAUACGAUGUAAAUAGUAAAAUGUGUUCCCUCAAAAAGAGGGAGGAAAUAGUAUCUUUUGAUUGGUU